ACAGGAAACAGCUUGCUGUUUCGCUGACGAGUGGCGGACGGGUGAGUAAUGUCUGGGAAACUGCCUGAUGGGGGGGGAUAACUACUGGAAACGGUAGCUAAUACCGCAUAACGUCGCAAGACCAAAGAGGGGGACCUUCGGGCCUCUUGCCAUCGGAUGUGCCCAGAUGGGAUUAGCUUGUUGGUGGGGUAACGGCUCACCAAGGCGACGAUCCCUAGCUGGUCUGAGAGGAUGACCAGCCACACUGGAACUGAGACACGGUCCAGACUCCUACGGGAGGCAGCAGUGGGGAAUAUUGCACAAUGGGCGCAAGCCUGAUGCAGCCAUGCCGCGUGUAUGAAGAAGGCCUUCGGGUUGUAAAGUACUUUCAGCGGGGAGGAA
RNAcentral lists this ribosomal RNA (381 nucleotides) under Escherichia coli. RNAcentral's name for it is "bacterial SSU rRNA". It matches the Rfam family "Bacterial small subunit ribosomal RNA", at positions 69 to 449 of the family's 1533-position model. The record is from RNAcentral. Lineage: Bacteria; Pseudomonadati; Pseudomonadota; Gammaproteobacteria; Enterobacterales; Enterobacteriaceae.